UUUCCUGGCACUCGGCAAGUUUCUCUGCAGCAGCUGUUAUCUCCAUCUCCUGUUAGAGAAAUUAUGUUUAGAUAUUGUUUUGGCAUUGAGAAAUAUAAUCUUUUUUUAAUUAUACUUAACUAAUAAGUACUAAUUUCAAUAAGAAGACAGGAUCAAUGUAUAAAAGAGAAAACAAAUUGGUCGAGUGAUAAGUGAUAAUAACUAAUUGAAAUUAAAAUACCAACAAACCUGUUUUAUCUUCGCAUCUGCAUUUGCAUCAGGUUCCGAACAUAUUAGGCCUUUUACAUUCCUGUAUUAAAAACAGAUAAUCUUUAAUCCUGUUAAUAUGGUGUGUGAUUGUGUAUGUCUACAUAUACAUAUAUAGUUAUAUACUUAUAAAUAGAGAAAGACCAUCCAAUUUUUUUGCAGGUCAUUUUGAUGCUAACCUUUCCAUUUGCUUUUGCAGAUCUUUGUAUUUUUCUAAAUCUUCCUGAUGUGCAGACACUUCAUUUUUAAGUUCAAUUUCAAGCGUAUCAAUUUUUGACUGGAGAAAGCUAAUUUCUGUUUCUAGGUCAUUUGAGCGUGAUUCUAGUAAUCGGUAAGAUUCUGCCAUACAUUUCAAUUGAGUCUCGGCCAAGCUAUUAGACUUCUGAGAACCAGUAAAUUGUGAUUCAAGGUCCUGAAGAUUUUGCUCUGUUUCAACCAACCGUAACUUUGUCUUUUCUAAACUUUCAGUACAUUUAGCAAGUUCAUCUGCCAAAUUGUCCUUCUCAAUUUUCAACAGAUCAAACUCCUCCUGCGAAUAAUUUAUUAAUGAUCCCUUCAUUUCAG
Molecule: long non-coding RNA, 810 nt
Filed under: Zostera marina
Lineage: Eukaryota; Viridiplantae; Streptophyta; Magnoliopsida; Alismatales; Zosteraceae
Description: long non-coding RNA (ZMAR_LNC001810)
Source: RNAcentral